This 562-nucleotide ribosomal RNA is filed under the name uncultured bacterium. RNAcentral's name for it is "bacterial SSU rRNA". It matches the Rfam family "Bacterial small subunit ribosomal RNA", at positions 338 to 916 of the family's 1533-position model. The record is from RNAcentral.
CCUACGGGAGGCAGCAGUGGGGAAUCUUGCGCAAUGGGCGAAAGCCUGACGCAGCAACGCCGCGUGGGGGAUGAAGGCUCUCGGGUUGUAAACCCCUUUCAGCAGGGACGAAUCAAGACGGUACCUGCAGAAGAAGCCCCGGCUAACUACGUGCCAGCAGCCGCGGUAACACGUAGGGGGCAAGCGUUGUCCGGAUUUAUUGGGCGUAAAGAGCUCGUAGGUGGCUGAGUAAGUCGGAUGUUAAAUCCCCAGGCUCAACCUGGGACACCACCCGAUACUGCUCUGGCUAGAGUCCGGUAGGGGAGCGUGGAAUUCCUGGUGUAGCGGUGAAAUGCGCAGAUAUCAGGAGGAACACCAGCGGCGAAGGCGGCGCUCUGGGCCGGUACUGACACUGAGGAGCGAAAGCGUGGGUAGCAAACAGGAUUAGAUACCCUGGUAGUCCACGCCGUAAACGUUGGGCACUAGGUGUGGGGUCUAUUCAACGGACUCCGUGCCGCAGCUAACGCAUUAAGUGCCCGCCUGGGGAGUACGGCCGCAGGCUAAAACUCAAAGGAAUUGACGG